CUAGUUGGUAAGGUAAGGGCUUACCAAGGCGACGAUCAGUAGCCGGCCUGAGAGGGUGGACGGCCACAUUGGGACUGAGACACGGCCCAAACUCCUACGGGAGGCAGCAGUGGGGAAUAUUGCACAAUGGGGGAAACCCUGAUGCAGCGACGCCGCGUGAGCGAUGAAGUAUUUCGGUAUGUAAAGCUCUAUCAGCAGGGAAGAUCAUGACGGUACCUGACUAAGAAGCACCGGCUAAAUAC
This 242-nucleotide ribosomal RNA is filed under the name uncultured bacterium. RNAcentral's name for it is "partial 16S ribosomal RNA". It matches the Rfam family "Bacterial small subunit ribosomal RNA", at positions 245 to 504 of the family's 1533-position model. The record is from RNAcentral.